Drosophila suzukii is the source of this 1318-nucleotide non-coding RNA. The record is from RefSeq and is a predicted model, not a curated record. NCBI's taxonomy places the organism in Eukaryota, Metazoa, Arthropoda, Insecta, Diptera, Drosophilidae.
UUAAUUUUUGUAAAGGUAAUUUUUUAUACGAUCAGCUUAAUAAUUGCAGAAGAAUGCAAACAGCUUAUUAACCUGGGUUUUCAAUCGCCACCGCCCCUAUUAUCUUAAAUUUCGUUACUUCUUACACUUUCACCGCCGUCAUGUUAAGCAACCCCAUUAUCUUAUGCGAUACCCAGUCGUAAGUUGCGGAACGUGUUUUAAAAAAACAUAGUUCUGGGUCGUACCUUUUUUACCCAAAACAGCACGUAUGCCAAUUUUUCAAGGCAAAUGUGCGUGCUGGGUGCAUUCUAUUGCGGUGCCUUCUAGAAGUGUUUCAGAAUAAUGCAUCCAGAAGCAUGCCCAAACACCCGUUUCGGGAACGUAUUCCGAAAGAAAUAGUUCUGGGUCGUAUCUUUUUUACGCAAAGCAACACGCGUGCUGGGGGCAGUCUUUUGGGAAUGUAAAAAACCAAACUCAAACCCGAAGGUUGCCGAUGCCCAUUUUUUUACAAUCGUCUUUUUUCGGAACUGUUCUCUUGACAAACAAAUAAUAAAGACAAAAGGGAACAUGCAAGGAGGCGAGCGGUUUUUCUUGCCUCUUGCAUUUUUCAUCAGUUGCAUUUUUAGUUCUGAAAAGUAAAGUUCGUGCCACGUGUUUUGAAAAAGUUUGUUGCUUUCUGCCACCAAUUUUACAUCAAUAUUUUCACAGAAUCUCAAAAAAUAAAUGGGCACACCAAGGACUGAACUGCGUAAAUGACAAAAGUACAUAAACAAGAAGGAAGCACCAAAGCACCGUACAGCAGGGGAGUUACUCCGAUUAAAAAUUAGUUGCGUUCUUGAAUAUUGAAAUGAAAAUAAAUAUGAAAUUGAAAUCCAGUUUUAUGUAUUCCUGGGGAAAACUUCCAGAUAUUUGGUUUUUGAAUGCUUCUAGGUGCAUUCCUGGGUACAUGUUACAGGUGCAUUAAAAAAGAGUACACCCAGAAGGUGUUUAGUAUGUUGCUUCCAGGUGCAUUAAAAACGAGUGCACCCAGAAUGUGUUUAGUUUGUUACUUCCAGGUGCAUUCCAGAUAUAUGCUUCCAGAAGCAUGCAACGGGUGCAUUCUUUUUUGUCCCGCACCCGUGUAAAAAGAAUGGACAGACUCAUCCCUUCCGGAACACCUUUUUGAUGCCAUUUCAUAAUGAAAGAACGCAUGCUGGAAUGCUGUCAUUUACGACUGGGUACCUUUCGAUCGCUUAGAUCGGACCAUCACAGCAGAUAGUCUAUCCUGCGGCUAUAUAUAGUAGUCACCUUCAUACAUUCUCCAGGACUGCUUUUUCAGCUAACCUGUGUACAUACAUAU